UGAUUAAUCACUUCAGUUGACGAUGAGC
RNAcentral lists this small RNA (28 nucleotides) under Bombyx mori (domestic silkworm). RNAcentral's name for it is "ovarian small RNA-32982". Lineage: Eukaryota; Metazoa; Arthropoda; Insecta; Lepidoptera; Bombycidae. The record is from RNAcentral.